RNAcentral lists this ribosomal RNA (482 nucleotides) under uncultured bacterium. RNAcentral's name for it is "partial 16S ribosomal RNA". It matches the Rfam family "Bacterial small subunit ribosomal RNA", at positions 30 to 507 of the family's 1533-position model. The record is from RNAcentral.
AUUGAACGCUGGCGGCAUGCCUUACACAUGCAAGUCGAACGGUAACAGGUCUUCGGAUGCUGACGAGUGGCGAACGGGUGAGUAAUACAUCGGAACGUGCCCAGACGUGGGGGAUAACGAGGCGAAAGCUUUGCUAAUACCGCAUACGAUCUAAGGAUGAAAGCAGGGGACCGCAAGGCCUUGUGCGUUUGGAGCGGCCGAUGGCAGAUUAGGUAGUUGGUGGGAUAAAAGCUUACCAAGCCGACGAUCUGUAGCUGGUCUGAGAGGACGACCAGCCACACUGGGACUGAGACACGGCCCAGACUCCUACGGGAGGCAGCAGUGGGGAAUUUUGGACAAUGGGCGAAAGCCUGAUCCAGCAAUGCCGCGUGCAGGAUGAAGGCCUUCGGGUUGUAAACUGCUUUUGUACGGAACGAAAAGGCUCUAGCUAAUACCUGGGGCACAUGACGGUACCGUAAGAAUAAGCACCGGCUAACUACGUG